This 2559-nucleotide long non-coding RNA is filed under the name Homo sapiens (human). RNAcentral's name for it is "HSALNT0056530". The record is from RNAcentral. Lineage: Eukaryota; Metazoa; Chordata; Mammalia; Primates; Hominidae.
AAUCUUUAGUGUUGUGAGCCCUUAAAAGGGACAGAAAUUUUGCACUCGGGGAGCUCAGAUUUUAAGACAGUAGCUUGCUGAUGCUCCCAGCUGAAUAAAGCCCUUCCUUCUACAACUCGGUGUCUGAGGGGUUUUGUCUGCAGCUCGUCCUGCUACAAUGGUGGUUCCUUUAUAGGAUAUUCAUGAUUCCCUACCUUGAAUCAAUGCCGCCAUCUUCCUUUUAACUCAGGGACUAUGAGAUACACAGGUCUUCAAUGCCAGUCACCUCAUGGACUCACCACCUAGUUUAUCAAGGAGAAGUUGAUGCUGGGAGCAACUACAAAAAUGAAGCUACUCUGAUUUAGGUGGCACAGAAAAGCAGGCGAGGGUUUCUCCCUCCUGUCUCAUUUGAUCAUUUUUCAUGCUUUACCUGUGCUUCUAGGGGCCAAUCUAUCUUUUUUUUUUUUUUUCUGCCUUCUCUGCUUUAAAUGUUCCCAGUUCUGUCUGGAACUUGUCUUUGAACAAAGAAAGAUUUACUUCUUUCUUGAUUCUUUUAUUCCCCUCAUUUUUGUUUAUUCUCUUCCUGGCUCUUAGAGCUUUUCUCUUAACAUUGUGACUGGUGUAUCUAUUUUCUUCAUCUCUCACCUCCUGCCCAUGAACUUAUUUAUGAGGAAAUGUGUAGGAUAAUAGAGCAACAAUUUGGCUUAAAGGGCUCUAGCUGUGUGACCCUAGGCACAUCAGUCAACUCCUUAUAAACAACAGGUUUCUUUUCUCUAAAAUGAGGAUGUUAGAUUCUAUUAUCUCAGUAGUUCAUCUCAGCACUAAUUUUCUAUGAUUCCUUUUCUCACAGUGCUGUCUACCUUGCAAGCCCAGUACAUGUAUAUUAGUUCCCUAUUGCUGCUGUAACAAAUUGCCACCAGCUUAAUGGUUUAAAGCAAGGCAAAUUUGUUAUUUUAUAUUUCUGUAGAUCAGACAUCUGGCACGGUGCCCUUGUGCUAAAAUUAGAGUGCUGACAAGCCUAUGGUUCUUUCUGGAGCCUUCAGGGAAGAAUUGGUUACCUUGCGUUUUCCAGCUUUUGAGAGCACCUGCAUCCCUUGGGUCAUGCCCUUUUCCUCCAUUUUCAAAGUCCAAAACAGGAUGUCAAGUCCUUCUUUCUUUGCAUCUCUUUGAACAACUGUAGCCAAAAAGAUUCUCCAUUCUAAGGACUCCUGUGAUUUGAUUGGGAGCCUCUACAUCAUUCAGGAGAAUCCUCUGACCUCAAGUUCUGUAACCUGAAUCACAUCAUAAGACUUCAGCUGGCAGAGCAACACAAGCAGCUGAAUAUCAAGAGGUGAAGAAGCAACUGGGCAUCUGAGACUAUGGAUAGAUGCGACUUAACUUCAGACGGCACAACUUUGGAGAGGAGCCCAGAUGGAGACGACCAGGCUUCAAGGAAAGAUCACCUUCUUCUUGCACCCCCCUUUCAGCUCCCCUUCUGCUGAGAGCUACUUCCACUGCCUAAUAAAAUCCUCUGCAUCAUCACCUUUCAAACCAUUCGUGCGACCUGAUUCUUCCUGGAUGCCGAACAAGAACCUGGGAACCAAGAGGGCAGAGUAUUAGGCUGUCACCCUGACUCUCCACUAAGCUGGUUAACACUUAGCUGCCAUGGACAGCAACUCCUAAAAGAGCAUUAAUUUUAUCACACCCCUAGACGCUGCCAGGGGGCUGGAGCCCAAAAGCAUUUGCCCCAGCUCCAACACCCACUUGCCUGUGUGCUCCCUCCCGUGAGGGGUUGAGCCCAGUGGGUUUGAGUGAGUGAAGUUCAUCCCUGUUGGCAGCAAAGUGGCAGGCUGAACCCAGAGCCAGUGCACUCUAGUUCCCAUCUGCAAAAGGGUCAAAGGAACUCUCCUGUCUCAACAACAUAUUACUGACUAACACAAGCAUCUUAUGCCUGGUAGCAUCAAAUUAAGCAAAGGGUAGCCCGAAUGCCAUGUCUUCACAUUUUAUUCCACUUGGAUCUCCUGUAGAAUGGCUGUUUACCAUGGAAGGGCUGAUUCCAAUUCUCACGUUAAUCACUUACAAGGCAGAAACCAGCUAGUCUAGACUGGUAAAGGGCUUUCCAGUUCAUUCAUCAGCCUCCUCUGAUUCUCUCAGGGCUCAUUCAGAUGUUCCCAAUCCUUUCACAAGAUUACAAUUCAACACAUAUGGAAGCACAAAAAAAAAUGCUGAUUUCCCCACAUAAAUAAUAAUUAAUUACUAAUGAAGAUAAUGGUGACAGACUAUGGGACUUAAGAAAAAACCUACGAGGAUGUAUCACAAGACAAAUCCUUCUAAAAAUUAAACUAUUUGCAGACAAUCAGAAAGUCAAAACUAACAAUCUCUUAAACAUUUCUCAGAUAUGGCUGUAAUAACAUAGCAUUCCUAUAAAAAUGAACUUUUAGGUUAAAUAUAUCUUUACACAUACAUGCACUUGCACCCACAUGUACACACAAUCUAUUUUUGGAUCUACUGAAUAAAGCAUCAUUAUUUAAAGUGAAGCAAUAAAAGUUUCAACGUCUUUUUUUCUAAGUAUUAGCCUUGAAGUUAUUCACCCUAACCAAA